AGCAGCCGCGGUAAUUCCAGCUCCAAUAGCGUAUAUUAAAGUUGUUGCAGUUAAAAAGCUCGUAGUUGAAUUUCGGGAUCAGUAUGUUGGUCGUGCUUCGGUACGUACUGUCAUUACUGGUUUCUACCUUCUGAAGAACCUUGAUGUCAUUAAUUUGGUGUCUUGGGGAAUCAGGACUGUUACUUUGAAAAAAUUAGAGUGUUUAAAGCAAGCAUACGCUUGAAUACAUUAGCAUGGAAUAAUGAAAUAGGACGUUUGAUUCUAUUUUGUUGGUUUCUAGGAUCGACGUAAUGAUUAAUAGGGAUAGUUGGGGGCAUUAGUAUUCAAUUGUCAGAGGUGAAAUUCUUGGAUUUAUUGAAGACUAACUACUGCGAAAGCAUUUGCCAAGGAUGUUUUCAUUAAUCAAGAACGAAAGUUAGGGGAUCGAAGACGAUCAGAUACCGUCGUAGUCUUAACCAUAAACUAUGCCGACUAGGGAUCGGAUGAUGUUAUUUUUAAUUGUACUCAUUCGGCGCCUUAA
Molecule: ribosomal RNA, 520 nt
Filed under: uncultured Glomus
Lineage: Eukaryota; Fungi; Glomeromycota; Glomeromycetes; Glomerales; Glomeraceae
Description: SSU rRNA
Rfam family: Eukaryotic small subunit ribosomal RNA
Source: RNAcentral